GAUGAACGCUGGCGGCGUGCCUAAUACAUGCAAGUCGAGCGAACAGACGAGGAGCUUGCUCCUCUGACGUUAGCGGCGGACGGGUGAGUAACACGUGGAUAACCUACCUAUAAGACUGGGAUAACUUCGGGAAACCGGAGCUAAUACCGGAUAAUAUAUUGAACCGCAUGGUUCAAUAGUGAAAGACGGUUUUGCUGUCACUUAUAGAUGGAUCCGCGCCGCAUUAGCUAGUUGGUAAGGUAACGGCUUACCAAGGCAACGAUGCGUAGCCGACCUGAGAGGGGGAUCAGCGACACUGGAACGGGGACACGGACCAGACUCCUACGGGAGGCAGCAGUAGGGAAUCUGACGCAGUAGGCGAAAGCUUGACGGAGCAACGCCGCGUGAGUGAUGAAGGUCUUCGGAUCGUAAAACUCUGUUAUUAGGGAAGAACAAAUGUGUAAGUAACUAUGCACGUCUUGACGGUACCUAAUCAGAAAGCCACGGCUAACUACGUG
Molecule: ribosomal RNA, 497 nt
Filed under: uncultured bacterium
Lineage: Bacteria
Description: partial 16S ribosomal RNA
Rfam family: Bacterial small subunit ribosomal RNA
Source: RNAcentral